Molecule: long non-coding RNA, 1432 nt
Organism: Lagenorhynchus albirostris (white-beaked dolphin)
Lineage: Eukaryota; Metazoa; Chordata; Mammalia; Artiodactyla; Delphinidae
Exons: 5
Source: RefSeq, a predicted model, not a curated record
CACGUGGGAUCUUAGUUCCCCAACCAGGGAUCGAACCUGUGCCCCCUGCAGUGGAGGCAUGGCAUCUUAACCACUGGACCACCAGGGCACAGCCCCUCUCAGAGAACAUGCUCUACCACAUGCCUGGCAGCCGUGGCAGCACAAUUCUCUUGUUCCUGGAGCCCAAGGAGCAAGCAAAGGACCUGGGGCAGCCAGUCUACAGGCUGCCAAAGCUCUAUGUUGGCCGGAAAAGAGCCUGUCAUCAGCUUUGCUGCACACGGCCCUGGAGGAGCUGAGCUGGCCCUUGUUUAAGGAAAGCCAGCAAAUCCACGCAGAUGUUUUUCUGAGAGCUGUUCCGACCAGGGCUCAGGGAUUUCGCCCUGCCUGGUAUCACAUAGCACGCGGGAGGAUGGGACUUCUCACUGUGGAGCAGGAAGUAUAUUACAAGAAAUCAAAAUGUAAGUGGGUUCUUUUUGAUUAGGCCAUGUUUUUCUCUUCUGUUUUUCUUUACAUAACCUUAUCACUCAGCUCCUUUAUUUUUCCCCUCUGCCCUCCUUGGCUCUCAUGCCCACUCUGGUGUGCAGGACAAACUCAACCCACCAGGCGCUCUGGGUGGCACGGUUUCUAGCUCCACUCCAACCUCAUCAGAGGCUCACUAAGGCUUUAAUCACCUCAUUUUCUUAUCUGACACAGAAAUCCUACUCCACCUAGUUUUUCAGAGCCCAGGAGACCUCUGACUUACAACCCAAGAGGCCAGAGAGAAGGAUGCUUUGUCCAGAGCGCAGCCUGAUUCCUGCUCCCAGGACGGUCAGCAUCGCCUCCCUCCUGCCGCCUGCCCCUCUCAGUUGCUCACAUCCCCGACCAGAACCUGCUCUGCACACAAGCAUCUUACAUGCUUUAAGGGGUGAAACAGACUCCCCACACCUCAUAUUUCUUUAACAGUGUACAAGGCAUUUCAUUUCAUAAUCUGGGAUGAAACAGUCAAUGCAAAUCCCCUGCGAGAGGAAUGGGAACCGAAUUCAAGGUUUGGCACCAAUGGUCUCGUCUCAGCUCAAAGCAGAGAAGGACCCUGAUAACGUGUUUCAAGCAUGUGUCAUACCCCUAAGCCAGCACUUCCCCAAUCAGGCCUCAGGCUGAUGUGAAAGCAGCUUGUAACCAACAGGAAGGCAGAAGGUUCAGGAGGAAACCAAAGCUUCCAUCUCGAGAGACUUGAUUCAUCUGCACCCUCCACAGACUAAGCUUCAGAUGUAUCAUAUGCUGACUUCUGCUACAGCUCAGGAUCAUUUUGGACAGAGGUACGAUGAGGUGAUGAGGUCCAACCAAGAGGCUACAGGACUGGGCUCCUCCCCAUCUCCAGAGUCCCACUCAGCACAGGGAUUUAUGUUGGCCUCUCCCAGAACCGUGGAAGGCUACCUAAUGUUUCAGUCAAGUGCAGCUGACUGGGGUCUUUAAC